RNAcentral lists this ribosomal RNA (274 nucleotides) under uncultured bacterium. RNAcentral describes it as "partial 16S ribosomal RNA". It matches the Rfam family "Archaeal small subunit ribosomal RNA", at positions 473 to 747 of the family's 1478-position model. The record is from RNAcentral.
AUACCAGCCCCCUGAGUGGUAAGGACGAUUAUUUGGCCUAAAGCGUUCGUAGCCGGCUUAUCAAGUCUUUUGUUAAAUCCAACGAUUCAAUCGUUGGGCCGCAAAAGAUACUGUUAUGCUAGAGGACGGGAGAGGUCGACGGUAUUCCAGGGGUAGGGGUGAAAUCCUAUAAUCCUUGGAGGACCACCAGUGGCGAAGGCGGUCGACUAGAACGUGCCUGACGGUGAGGGACGAAAGCUGGGGGAGCGAACCGGAUUAGAUACCCGAGUAGUCC